GUGUGCUCGCUUCGGCCGCACAUACACUGAAGUUGGAACGAUGCAGAGACGAUUAGCAUGGCCCCUGUGCAAGGAUGACAUGCAAAUUCGUGAAGUGUUCCAAAACAAA
Small nuclear RNA from Zalophus californianus (California sea lion), 109 nucleotides. The record is from Ensembl. Lineage: Eukaryota; Metazoa; Chordata; Mammalia; Carnivora; Otariidae.